GAUGAACGCUAGCUACAGGCUUAACACAUGCAAGUCGAGGGGCAGCACAGUGUAGCAAUACAUGGGUGGCGACCGGCGCACGGGUGCGUAACGCGUAUCCAACCUUCCCGUUACUCUUGGAUAGCCUUCCGAAAGGGAGAUUAAUACAAGAUGGUAUUCAAAUUCCGCAUGUUAUUUGAAUUAAAGAUUUAUCGGUAACGGAUGGGGAUGCGUGACAUUAGGUAGAUGGCGGGGUAACGGCCCACCAUGCCCACGAUGUCUAGGGGUUCUGAGAGGAAGGUCCCCCACACUGGAACUGAGACACGGUCCAGACUCCUACGGGAGGCAGCAGUGAGGAAUAUUGGUCAAUGGUCGGAAGACUGAACCAGCCAAGUAGCGUGAAGGAUGAAGGUUCUAUGGAUUGUAAACUUCUUUUAUACGGGAAUAAAACGUCCCACGUGUGGGAUUUUGUAUGUACCGUAUGAAUAAGCAUCGGCUAACUCCGUG
This 486-nucleotide ribosomal RNA is filed under the name uncultured bacterium. RNAcentral describes it as "bacterial SSU rRNA". It matches the Rfam family "Bacterial small subunit ribosomal RNA", at positions 28 to 507 of the family's 1533-position model. The record is from RNAcentral.